CCUACGGGUGGCAGCAGUGAGGAAUAUUGGUCAAUGGCCGGAAGGCUGAACCAGCCAUGCCGCGUGAAGGUCAGUGCCCUAUGGGCGUUAAACUUCUUUUGUGCGGGAGCAAUAAUGGUCACGUGUGGCCAGAAGAGAUUACCGUACGAAUAAGCAUCGGCUAACUCCGUGCCAGCAGCCGCGGUAAUAAGGGGGAUGCAAGCGGUAUUCGGACUUAUUGGGUUUAAAGGGUGCGUAGGCUGGGAGGUAAGGUAGAGGUGAAAUGCCCCCGCUCAACGGGGUGAAGUGCCAUUGAUACUGGCUUGCUGGAAUGCGGAUGCCGUAGGAGGAAUGUGUGGUGUAGCGGUGAAAUGCAUAGAUAUCACACAGAACACCGAUUGCGAAGGCAUCUCACGAAUCCGCGAUUGACGCUGAUGCACGAAAGCGUGGGUAUCAAACAGGAUUAGAUACCCGUGUAGUC
This 460-nucleotide ribosomal RNA is filed under the name uncultured bacterium. Its description in RNAcentral is "partial 16S ribosomal RNA". It matches the Rfam family "Bacterial small subunit ribosomal RNA", at positions 338 to 795 of the family's 1533-position model. The record is from RNAcentral.